This 565-nucleotide long non-coding RNA is filed under the name Theobroma cacao (cacao). RNAcentral describes it as "long non-coding RNA (TCAC_LNC002941)". The record is from RNAcentral. Lineage: Eukaryota; Viridiplantae; Streptophyta; Magnoliopsida; Malvales; Malvaceae.
UCUCUAAAACCAAACUCUCUACCUUCUCUCUAAAAGCUUCCACCCUCUCUAAACAACUUCCCUUUUCACCGGCCACCACCCAAAAUCGGCAACGCUGCUGGUUACCCGACCAACCCUCUCUCUCGCCUUUAACUGGUAGUCGUCGAUUGGUCUUUCUCCCUUUCUCUCUCUUCUAAACCGGCAGCAAACAACCCUUAAACUUUUCCCUUCCAAGCUUCAACCGAUAAACCCAAAAAAUCAAGAUAUAAUCCUAGAAACCCAAACCCAAAAAAAAAAAUCCCCCUCACUCAUUUCUCUCAUUUUCGUUUCUUUUUUUUUGCAUUUUUUUUAUUGUGGAUUGUGGUUCUUGGCUGUUAAAUGUUUAAGAUUUUUUUUUAUUUUUUUUGUUUUUGGAAUAUUGUUUUCCCUCUUUUUGGAAGAUUGGCUUUUUUGGAUCUUUUUUUAUCUUUGAAAGAGCCAAUUUUUUUCUAAGAAAAUAUAAAUUGUUUCCAUUGUGGAAGGAAAGUUCAUAUGAUUUGUGAGUGCAGGUAAAAAAAAGCAGGAAAGACUUUUGGUUUGAAAUUCC